UGAACAGUCCCUUACAAUUACAAUGGCUCAUGGUUAUUAUAAUAUUAAUUAAGGCUUUCUCCUUUCUUGCUCCUUUCAGGAUAGUUCUGGCAUAAUUUAGUCACUCUAAUGUCAUUCAUAACCUAACCUGGCAUUCUGUUAAAUGACACCACUAUGAGCUAAACAUCUCCUUUUGUGUUCCACAGAAUAAAGCAAGUCAUAUGGAUUUGGAACAACAUGCGGACGAGUAAAUCAUGGCAGAACUUUACUACUCCUGUAACCGCUACACUACACCACACCACCUAGGGAGUUAAUGCAGCAGACGCCCACAGAAAACGCAUCAGGCAGUCAACAGUGGCAACAUUUAAAUCUGAUGUAUCAUUUCUCUAGAAGAUCUUAUAAGAAUAAGCUGAUUUGUUUUGAAAGGAGUUCUUUUUUCAGCAUUUCCCUGCUUGGUUUCCUUUCAACAGCAGCAAUGGACAGGAAAAAUGGUCGGAUGAUUCUCAGGUGAUCAGGUUCACUGCAUCCUCAUGCCUGAUUUAACUUAUAAGGUUGGCCAGCACGGAGAUCUCUCCACCCUGUGGCUCUGUUGACUGAGUAAACUGUGUAGAGUGAAACUACAGCUGGCUAGAUCACAUGUUCCGGUACAAGAGGGAAAUUACUCAGGGAUAUUGACUACAAGUUGACUUUUUCACUGGAGAAUGCAGUGUUAUGGAUAGAGGACAGCUGUUUGAACUCUCAUUCUGACGGCACCCAUUCACUGCAGAGAAUUCACUGGGGGUCCUUGGGCAAUGUGAGGUAUUUCAUCCUGAGUCACGACCCUUAUUGCUGGAAUGUUGAAGAGGAAAAGGGGGUCCAGUAUCUCGCCAUAUAAAAGACCACCGCUCCAUAACAACUGACAGUCAGCAGUGCAGAAACUACAACAUGUCCUAAUUGGACUAACUGUUUACUAUGUGUAUUUGAAGAUAUGGAUAUGUAUGGGAGUAAACGUGCAGGUUAAUCAAUGUUCAGUGUAAUAUGGAGAUGGGAAAGCACCAGUAAGGUUUACACAGUGUCCAUAUGUUUCCUCAUCCCGUGUUUAUGAGUAUUUUGUUUUUUCUUUUUGAUAUUGAUAUGAAAGUCACAUGACCAAAACCAACCGAAAAGAAUGUAAUCUAAAAGAGAUCAGUCUGUGUCUUUUUGAAUUGAGAACCUUCAUUUUGGUAAAAAUACUCCUUAUAUGAGA
This is a long non-coding RNA of Onychostoma macrolepis, 1204 nucleotides long. RefSeq lists it as uncharacterized. The record is from RefSeq and is a predicted model, not a curated record. Lineage: Eukaryota; Metazoa; Chordata; Actinopteri; Cypriniformes; Cyprinidae. The transcript has 3 exons.